GGCGGGCCUCCCCGCAGCGUGGUCGGGUGAAACUGGUCAGGUCCGGAAGGAAGCAGCCACAGCCUUUCUCCAUGUGUGCCGGGGUUCCGGCUCGCCCAC
Molecule: signal recognition particle RNA, 99 nt
Filed under: Limnobacter sp.
Lineage: Bacteria; Pseudomonadati; Pseudomonadota; Betaproteobacteria; Burkholderiales; Burkholderiaceae
Also listed under: 1 other name
Description: signal recognition particle sRNA small type
Rfam family: Bacterial small signal recognition particle RNA
About the family: The signal recognition particle (SRP) is a universally conserved ribonucleoprotein involved in the co-translational targeting of proteins to membranes.
Source: RNAcentral